AGCCGGUGAUGUGAUCAAAAUAUUUGCUACUCUUGAUGGGUGCUCCCAUUUGAUGAUCCUGAACCACCAAGAUCUCUGAGGCC
This is a small nucleolar RNA of Dichanthelium oligosanthes, 83 nucleotides long. It matches the Rfam family "Small nucleolar RNA SNORD24". From Rfam's summary of the family: U24 is a member of the C/D class of snoRNA which contain the C (UGAUGA) and D (CUGA) box motifs. C/D box snoRNAs have been shown to act as methylation guides for a number of RNA targets. Lineage: Eukaryota; Viridiplantae; Streptophyta; Magnoliopsida; Poales; Poaceae. The record is from Rfam.